RNA transcript from Abrus precatorius (Indian licorice), 2401 nucleotides. It is a transcript of the gene named ultraviolet-B receptor UVR8-like, with no coding region annotated. The record is from RefSeq and is a predicted model, not a curated record. NCBI's taxonomy places the organism in Eukaryota, Viridiplantae, Streptophyta, Magnoliopsida, Fabales, Fabaceae. The transcript is spliced from 10 exons.
GAGAAAAAAGAGGGCACUUUGAGCAAAGUCUUCAAAGAUUUUCUCGCUCGCCAAACGGAAAAGCCAUAAAAUAAGGGAAAAGUUUUGAACUUAGUCGCAUUGGGUAUUGGAUUUUUUAUUUUUUAUUUUGUUUAGCGGGAAUCGCCAUGAACGGCGACGGGAUUGAAGCAAUGCAAGUGGAGAAGGAGAGGUUGGUGUACAUGUGGGGUUACCUUCCCGGAGCUCUGCCGCAGAGGACGCCGUUAUUGACGCCGGUUAGGGUUCCGCCGUCUGAUUACCCUUGGUGGGAUGUUUGCGGUGGUGGUUGUGGAUUUGCCAUGGCUAUCUCUGCACAAGGAAAGCUCAUAACAUGGGGUUCAGCAGAUGAUUUAGGCCAAAGCUAUGUCACAUCUGGCAAACAUGGGGCAACUCCAGAGCCUUUCCCUCUUCCUGCUGAAGCGCCUAUUGUAAAAGCUGCAGCUGGAUGGGCACAUUGUGUAUCUGUGACAGAUAGUGGAGAAGUUUACACAUGGGGAUGGAAGGAAUGUGUUCCCUCUGGGAAGGUACUUGGCGAAUCAUCAAUUGUGGUAAGUCCCGAAAAGGAUGUACCAGGAAGGCAAAGUUCAUUCUUGACGGAGCAAGGUGUGUUCCUCUUUAAAAUUGCCAUUUGUCUACAGCUACCGGGCCCUCCUAGGAGGUGGUCUAAGCUAGCCAAAGUGUACAAAAAGGAGGGGGGGAAGAGAGAGGAACUGCUAUGAUAUAGGAUAGAAUGUUUGAAACCCCAAAAGAAAGAAGAAAAGAGCUUUAUCCUUUUAUGAUAAAAAAUAAAGGAUAUUUAGCCUUUAUCUGUCUAACUAUGUAGAGUGGUUUUGCAACAGUGAUACCACGUUCUCAGGGGUCAAAAUCUAUUGGAGGAACUACCUCCAGUACCAGUGGAGAAGAAAGUACAAAGAGAAGGAGAGUAUCGUCAGCAAAGCAAACAGCUGAAACCUCGACAUCUAGUGAUGAUACUAUGACAGCGUUGCCGUGUCUUGUCACAUUAAACCCUGGUGUAAGGAUAUCAAGUGUUGCUGCUGGUGGGCGCCAUACCUUAGCAUUGUCAGAUACAGGGCAGGUGUGGGGUUGGGGCUAUGGAGGUGAAGGGCAGCUUGGUUUGGGUUCUAGAAUACGAAUGGUGUCCUCUCCUCAUCUUGUUCCUUGUAUUGAUUCCUCUUCUUAUGGUAAAGAUAUAUCACGGGCUCAAGGAAGCAUGAGUUCAGAGGGACAAAAUUUUAGAGUUCCAGGAAGUUAUGUGAAAGGAAUUGCCUGUGGAGGUCGACACAGUGCAGUAAUCACAGAUGCUGGAGCUGUGCUUACUUUUGGUUGGGGACUUUAUGGACAGGUAAAGUAGAAUAUGGUGGGCAAAAGCAAUGUAGAUGUUGAAGAUGAGGUUCCUCUAACAAGGGAUAAUCUGUUCUGUUCCUAUGCAAUAUUCAUCAUUCUAAUCACUCUCUUGGUUGAUUUAUGCUUAUGCUUGUUAUACUGAAUUAAUUGUCAUCUUGUUUUGGAAAAGUGCGGGCAAGGAAGUACAGAUGAUGAACUUAGUCCAACUUGCGUGUCUUCCUUAUUGGGUAUCCGAAUAGAGGGAGUUGCUGCAGGUUUGUGGCAUACUGUGUGUACAUCUGCUGAUGGUGAUGUAUAUGCAUUUGGUGGAAACCAAUUUGGACAGCUGGGAACUGGUGCUGAUCAAGCUGAGACUGUACCGAGGCUACUGGAUUGUCCGAGCUUGGAAAAUGUGAAUGUAAAGAGCAUAUCAUGUGGGGCUCGUCACACUGCUCUAAUAACAGACAAUGGAAAAGUCUUCUGCUGGGGAUGGAACAAGUAUGGACAGCUGGGCCUUGGGGAUGUGAUUGACCGUAACAUUCCUUCUGAAGUUACCAUGGAAGGUUGUGUAGCUAAAAACGUUGCAUGUGGGUGGUGGCAUACUCUUCUUCUGGCUGAAUCACCCACUUGAUGUCACGUGGCUUCCUUGAGGCUCUUGACUCAAUUUUGUUAGUUAGAUGUUGUUUUGUUUGGUAAAUUUAUGAAGCCAUAUGCAUAUGUAUAUGUACAUAUUGAGUGGUAUACGUGUGUAUAUAUGCUUGUAUUCUUUCAUGGUGUGAAUCAUCAUGACUGGCUCUAGCAUUUAACAACAUCCAAUAGUGAUUUCUGGUUUGGGAAGGAAAAUAUUGGGUCCUUUUCACCUAUGUAAGAUUAUUCUUCAUAAUGUAUAUUUUCUCUUAAUUGUCUAAACUAACCAGUGUAAUUAAAUACCCUGGAAGUUUGUGCUGCCUCCUGGUAUGUAGUUUUGGAGGCAUGAUUGGUUGUUUUAAUACAUCUUUUCUUUUUGGUCAUAUAUAUAUAUUGGCCUUUGAGGUCCAAUGCAUGGGCUGAGAUUGAUUUU